Molecule: long non-coding RNA, 1702 nt
Filed under: Homo sapiens (human)
Lineage: Eukaryota; Metazoa; Chordata; Mammalia; Primates; Hominidae
Description: HSALNT0325971
Source: RNAcentral
AAAUAUUUCUUCUUUAUUGUUAGUCACUGUUACAAUAGUAAUAGGGAACCCAAAGAGCCAUGCAUUUUGAGAGAAAAACAACAAAAAAGUAUAUUUCUUAGUUUAAUUGAAGACUGUUCCUGUGUGGCGUUAUAACAGCUUGUUAAAAUAAGACAUUGCAUGACCCCAUUGCCAGCCACCUUCCCUUGUUUAAGUUACCUAUCCUGCCUGUUAAGGCAUCACAGUAUGUGAAUCUUGCCAUAAAUCAUGUUUGGCUCUCAUAACCCUGUGUGAUCUCACUGACUAGCUCGUAACCUGAGAGUGCUAAGUAGUUCUCAGGACCAACUAUGCCAAGGUCAACACGGGAAUGCCCAAUAUGAUUGGGAUGUGUCAUAGUGAAAGCGGACCAUCAUAGUUGAUAGCAACUUUAAGAAAAUGUCACUACAGAAGUUAGUUGUUUUUAUUACCAAGACAAAUGUCAGAGUAGCUGAUCCUGAAAUGAUGAGUUCAUGUUUUAUUAAAAGUGAUGUUUUUCUGAACAUACAUGUCCUUGAAAUCUGCAGCUCCUAGAUGCCACUGAAAUUUAAAUAAUUGAGUCAAGCCGCUCAUUAAGCACUAGGUAUUUUCUAAAUGAUCAUUAAAAUUAAAAAAAAUUAAUUGUGGUAAAAUACACCUAAAAUAAAACUUACCAUUUCAUCAUUUUUAAGUGUACAGUUUGGUAGUAUUAAGUACAUUCACAUUGUUGUGUGAGCAUCACCGUCAUUAAUCUCUAGGGCUCUUCUUGCAAAAUGAAACACUAUACCUAUUAAACAGCAACCCCAUACAAUUCUCUACUGCAUACGGUCACUGACAGCCAACUUUCUACUUUCUGUCUGUAUGAUUCUGAUGACUCUAGCUACCUCAUACAUGUGUAAUCAUUCAGUGUUUGUCUUUUUGUGACUGAUUUAUUUCAUUUAGUACAAUGUCUUUAAGUUUCCCUCAUAUUCCAACUUGUGUCAAAAUUCUUUUCCUUUUUAAGGCUGAUGAAUAUUCCACCGUGUGUGUGUGUAUACACACACACACACACACACACACACACCAUAAUUGUUUAUCCAUUCAUUGACUGUGUGACACCUGGGGGUCCUUCCAUCUUUUGGCUAUCGUAAACAAUGCUAUUAUGAACAUGGGUGCACAAUUAUCUCUUUGAGACUCUGCAUUUCAUUUUUUUAAAAUAUAUCCCCAGAAGUGAAAUUUGUGGUUCAUAGAGUAAUUCUGUUGUUCAUUUUUUUAGAUAUUUCCAUUCCAUUUUUUCACAGUGGCUGCACCCUUUUAAUUUCCUACCAACAGUAGAGUUUCCCAUCCCUCUGCAUCCUCUCUAACAUUUGUCAUUUCCUAUUUAUUAUAGUAGGUGUAUGAUUUAAUGUAAUUCUUCCUCCUCUUAUGCUAUCAAAUUGAAGACUCAUAAUUCACAUUGGGUUAAAUAAUGCUUAAUAUAUCAUCUCUAUUCUUUUUCUUUCCAUGUACUUCAACUCUGUUAAUACUCAGUUCUACUAGACUCAAAUAUAAUACAUCAUUAAGCUCAUGAAUGACCAGAAAAUAUAAAUUGCAGUAUUUCCCGGUAGGAUCUUUAUUUUUAACUCUUGUGAAUUAUAUUUGCCUCUUUAUUUCCUAGACACUAGUUUUGAUGGUAGACUAGAUAUAACUCUAAUUAUUCCAGAGAACUAAACAGGGUCAGCUAUAAUUC